This is a small nucleolar RNA of Mesocricetus auratus (golden hamster), 84 nucleotides long. NCBI's taxonomy places the organism in Eukaryota, Metazoa, Chordata, Mammalia, Rodentia, Cricetidae. The record is from Ensembl.
CUCAGGAAAGAACUUAGUCUUGCUUAUUGGCAAGGCCAUCCCCAUUUAGUUGGUAUCAGAUUCUGAUUUGCACAUGUAACAGUC